AUUACCCGCGUCCUUCGUUUCAAUCAAUUUCCCAAACAUUAACCCCAAACCUCCAGAGAUUCAAAGUUCAGAGUGAAGCUGCUGCUUCUUCUUCUUCUCCAACGCUUGAGAGUAGAGACCAGAGACGAAGUCACCGUCACGGAGAGAGGCAGAGAGCAGAUCAGUAGAGCUUCUUCUUCUUCGACGAUUGAGAAAACCUGCCGUCCUCCGUCGGAGAGCAGAGCUUCUUCUUCUUCUUCUCCUCCUCCGCCGAGCCCGCCGCCGCGCCAUCCUGUUCAUGUUCCUAAUUCUUCUCCAAUGGCAGAAGCUGCCGUUCUGAUAUGUAUGGAGCAGCGGUUUUAGAUGUAUGUGAGCAAAUAAAGGUACGCAUGGAACCUGUUGCUUCACGAAACAACUUCAACUCAUUUGCUGAGGAGGAAAGCAGAUCUGCUGCCAUUGGAAGGCAGCAGAUGGUCACAGAGAAGGGUGGAAAUUCGAUUCAGACACUUGGCAGGGGUUCUGUUCGAAAUGAAGAGAAAACUCGCAGAUUACUAUAACCGUACUUAAAAUAUAAUAUACCUGUAAUCUUUGGUUCUGCUUUCUGUUUUUAGAAUACUUAGAACUGCACUAACGGUCAUUUCUAUCUUUUCUCCUUGGUCUUGGAUAUGCUCACUAAAGCACAUUCAAAAUGGGUACCAUGGAGCAUAUAGUCCUAUUAGGAGAAUUAAGAUUCUUGGAUGGCAACAAGUUGCUGAAAAAAUUGGAAUGCAACAUUGUGUUGCAUCAGGCCAAUGGCUAAAUGAGAGAAUUGCUCUCUCAAGAUAUGCCCCAUGUACCACUUGGGAAUUUUGAACUUGACUAGCUUAUAUUUACAGCAGAUACCUUCUUCUCAAGAGCUUUGCGUGAUAGUCAACAGGUUAUGAUUGUUCAUGUUGCUGCACAAAAUCAGCAACGCAUUCCAUUUGGAGUUGGUAUGGCAUUAGAUCCCAUGGCUUUGCGUAGAGGAGCAAAACAGCUUGCUAUGGAAGAUGUUUGCUAUUAUUAAUGGCCUCUGCCUGGGCUGGAUCAGGUUCUGUAUAUAUUCAUGGCAUUCCUUCAAUAUUUUGUUUCUCACAAUUAUAUAGGGAGUAGAGCUAAUCCACUUCAAUGCCCAAUUUGCAGUUUGGGCUAUUUGGUAUCUGCGAUGGGGCUGCUAAAUCCGCAAGCAAACUUUUUCCUGAGAUAAUUGCUAAUAUAUUAUUGGAUUCAUAAAAAAGGGAGCGGAUUUUAUCACUUCAUGAUGCUUCAGAAAUUCUAAGAGAUGCAUUUUCUCAAUCAGAAGCAUGCUUGAAUCAUUACUGAGAUUGAAGCCACCAUCAGGGUCUGCUGUGCCUAUUGCAGAGUACAUUCCAGGUUAGGAAUCAAGAGUUAGGGUCAAAUUGAUGUCCUAUAUCCUAUAUGUUAGCAUGAGUUUUUUUUGGUAAUUUUUUAUUAACUUUUUUACUUUAGAGGAAUUUGAUCCUUCAACUAUAAUAGUUAAUUUUUGUAAUAAUGAUUCUUUUAAA
Long non-coding RNA from Arachis stenosperma, 1523 nucleotides. RefSeq lists it as uncharacterized. The record is from RefSeq and is a predicted model, not a curated record. Lineage: Eukaryota; Viridiplantae; Streptophyta; Magnoliopsida; Fabales; Fabaceae. The transcript is spliced from 8 exons.